Molecule: ribosomal RNA, 2905 nt
Filed under: Enterobacter hormaechei
Lineage: Bacteria; Pseudomonadati; Pseudomonadota; Gammaproteobacteria; Enterobacterales; Enterobacteriaceae
Description: 23S ribosomal RNA
Rfam family: Bacterial large subunit ribosomal RNA
Source: RNAcentral
GGUUAAGCGACUAAGCGUACACGGUGGAUGCCCUGGCAGUCAGAGGCGAUGAAGGACGUGCUAAUCUGCGAAAAGCGCCGGCGAGGUGAUAUGAACCUUUGACCCGGCGAUGUCCGAAUGGGGAAACCCAGUGCAAUCCGUUGCACUAUCGUUAACUGAAUACAUAGGUUAACGAGGCGAACCGGGGGAACUGAAACAUCUAAGUACCCCGAGGAAAAGAAAUCAACCGAGAUUCCCCCAGUAGCGGCGAGCGAACGGGGAGCAGCCCGGAGUCUGAAUCAGCUUGUGUGUUAGUGGAACGGUCUGGAAAGUCCGACGGUACAGGGUGAUAGUCCCGUACACGAAAGCACACAUGCUGUGAACUCGAAGAGUAGGGCGGGACACGUGGUAUCCUGUCUGAAUAUGGGGGGACCAUCCUCCAAGGCUAAAUACUCCUGACUGACCGAUAGUGAACCAGUACCGUGAGGGAAAGGCGAAAAGAACCCCGGCGAGGGGAGUGAAAAAGAACCUGAAACCGUGUACGUACAAGCAGUGGGAGCCUCUUUAUGGGGUGACUGCGUACCUUUUGUAUAAUGGGUCAGCGACUUAUAUUCUGUAGCAAGGUUAACCGUAUAGGGGAGCCGAAGGGAAACCGAGUCUUAACUGGGCGUUAAGUUGCAGGGUAUAGACCCGAAACCCGGUGAUCUAGCCAUGGGCAGGUUGAAGGUUGGGUAACACUAACUGGAGGACCGAACCGACUAAUGUUGAAAAAUUAGCGGAUGACCUGUGGCUGGGGGUGAAAGGCCAAUCAAACCGGGAGAUAGCUGGUUCUCCCCGAAAGCUAUUUAGGUAGCGCCUCGUGAACUCAUCUUCGGGGGUAGAGCACUGUUUCGGCUAGGGGGCCAUCCCGGCUUACCAACCCGAUGCAAACUACGAAUACCGAAGAAUGUUAUCACGGGAGACACACGGCGGGUGCUAACGUCCGUCGUGAAGAGGGAAACAACCCAGACCGCCAGCUAAGGUCCCAAAGUCAUGGUUAAGUGGGAAACGAUGUGGGAAGGCACAGACAGCCAGGAUGUUGGCUUAGAAGCAGCCAUCAUUUAAAGAAAGCGUAAUAGCUCACUGGUCGAGUCGGCCUGCGCGGAAGAUGUAACGGGGCUAAACCAUGCACCGAAGCUGCGGCAGCGACACUAUGUGUUGUUGGGUAGGGGAGCGUUCUGUAAGCCGUUGAAGGUGUGCUGUGAGGCAUGCUGGAGGUAUCAGAAGUGCGAAUGCUGACAUAAGUAACGAUAAAGCGGGUGAAAAGCCCGCUCGCCGGAAGACCAAGGGUUCCUGUCCAACGUUAAUCGGGGCAGGGUGAGUCGACCCCUAAGGCGAGGCCGAAAGGCGUAGUCGAUGGGAAACAGGUUAAUAUUCCUGUACUUGGUGUUACUGCGAAGGGGGGACGGAGAAGGCUAUGUCAGCCGGGCGACGGUUGUCCCGGUUUAAGCAUGUAGGCGGAGGUUCCAGGUAAAUCCGGUACCUUGUUAACGCUGAGGUGUGAUGACGAGGCACUACGGUGCUGAAGUGAUAAAUGCCCUGCUUCCAGGAAAAGCCUCUAAGCAUCAGGUAACACGAAAUCGUACCCCAAACCGACACAGGUGGUCAGGUAGAGAAUACCAAGGCGCUUGAGAGAACUCGGGUGAAGGAACUAGGCAAAAUGGUGCCGUAACUUCGGGAGAAGGCACGCUGAUAUGUAGGUGAAGCCCCUGCGGGCGGAGCUGAAAUCAGUCGAAGAUACCAGCUGGCUGCAACUGUUUAUUAAAAACACAGCACUGUGCAAACACGAAAGUGGACGUAUACGGUGUGACGCCUGCCCGGUGCCGGAAGGUUAAUUGAUGGGGUUAGCGGCAACGCGAAGCUCUUGAUCGAAGCCCCGGUAAACGGCGGCCGUAACUAUAACGGUCCUAAGGUAGCGAAAUUCCUUGUCGGGUAAGUUCCGACCUGCACGAAUGGCGUAAUGAUGGCCAGGCUGUCUCCACCCGAGACUCAGUGAAAUUGAACUCGCUGUGAAGAUGCAGUGUACCCGCGGCAAGACGGAAAGACCCCGUGAACCUUUACUAUAGCUUGACACUGAACACUGGUCCUUGAUGUGUAGGAUAGGUGGGAGGCUUUGAAGCGUGGACGCCAGUCUGCGUGGAGCCAACCUUGAAAUACCACCCUUUAAUGGCUGGUGUUCUAACGUAGACCCGUAAUCCGGGUUGCGGACAGUGUCUGGUGGGUAGUUUGACUGGGGCGGUCUCCUCCCAAAGAGUAACGGAGGAGCACGAAGGUUGGCUAAUCCUGGUCGGACAUCAGGAGGUUAGUGCAAUGGCAUAAGCCAGCUUGACUGCGAGCGUGACGGCGCGAGCAGGUGCGAAAGCAGGUCAUAGUGAUCCGGUGGUUCUGAAUGGAAGGGCCAUCGCUCAACGGAUAAAAGGUACUCCGGGGAUAACAGGCUGAUACCGCCCAAGAGUUCAUAUCGACGGCGGUGUUUGGCACCUCGAUGUCGGCUCAUCACAUCCUGGGGCUGAAGUAGGUCCCAAGGGUAUGGCUGUUCGCCAUUUAAAGUGGUACGCGAGCUGGGUUUAGAACGUCGUGAGACAGUUCGGUCCCUAUCUGCCGUGGGCGCUGGAGAAUUGAGGGGGGCUGCUCCUAGUACGAGAGGACCGGAGUGGACGCAUCACUGGUGUUCGGGUUGUCAUGCCAAUGGCACUGCCCGGUAGCUAAAUGCGGAAGAGAUAAGUGCUGAAAGCAUCUAAGCACGAAACUUGCCCCGAGAUGAGUUCUCCCUGAGACCUUGAGUCUCCUGAAGGAACGUUGAAGACUACGACGUUGAUAGGUCGGGUGUGUAAGCGCAGCGAUGCGUUGAGCUAACCGAUACUAAUGAACCGUGAGGCUUAACCUU